UGGCAAAAGCAAGAUGUUCUCAAUGGA
Molecule: non-coding RNA, 27 nt
Filed under: Homo sapiens (human)
Lineage: Eukaryota; Metazoa; Chordata; Mammalia; Primates; Hominidae
Source: RNAcentral